Molecule: ribosomal RNA, 254 nt
Filed under: uncultured bacterium
Lineage: Bacteria
Description: partial 16S ribosomal RNA
Rfam family: Bacterial small subunit ribosomal RNA
Source: RNAcentral
UACGGGGGGAGCAAGCGUUGUUCGGAUUUACUGGGCGUAAAGGGCGCGUAGGCGGUCAGCACAAGUCAGUUGUGAAAUCUCCGGGCUUAACCCGGAACGGUCAACUGAUACUGUGCGACUAGAGUGCGGAAGGGGCAACUGGAAUUCUCGGUGUAGCGGUGAAAUGCGUAGAUAUCGAGAGGAACACCUGCGGCGAAGGCGGGUUGCUGGGCCGACACUGACGCUGAUGCGCGAAAGCGUGGGGAGCAAACAGG